GACGAACGCUGGCGGCGUGCUUAACACAUGCAAGUCGAACGGAAAGGCCCUGCUUUUGUGGGGUGCUCGAGUGGCGAACGGGUGAGUAACACGUGAGUAACCUGCCCUUGACUUUGGGAUAACUUCAGGAAACUGGGGCUAAUACCGGAUAGGAGCUCCUGCUGCAUGGUGGGGGUUGGAAAGUUUCGGCGGUUGGGGAUGGACUCGCGGCUUAUCAGCUUGUUGGUGGGGUAGUGGCUUACCAAGGCUUUGACGGAUAGCCGGCCUGAGAGGGUGACCGGCCACCUUGGGACUGCGAUACGGCCCAGACUCCUACGGGAGGCAGCAGUGGGGAAUAUUGCACAAUGGGCGGAAGCCUGAUGCAGCAACGCCGCGUGCGGGAUGACGGCCUUCGGGUUGUAAACCGCUUUCGCCUGUGACGAAGCGUGAGUGACGGUAAUGGGUAAAGAAGCACCGGCUAACUACGUG
RNAcentral lists this ribosomal RNA (468 nucleotides) under uncultured bacterium. Its description in RNAcentral is "partial 16S ribosomal RNA". It matches the Rfam family "Bacterial small subunit ribosomal RNA", at positions 28 to 507 of the family's 1533-position model. The record is from RNAcentral.